GUUUGAUCCUGGCUCAGGACGAACGCUGGCGGCGUGCCUAACACAUGCAAGUCGAACGAGGUCCAUCCGGUAGCAAUACUGGUGAAGAUCAAGUGGCGAACGGGUGAGUAGCACGUGAGCAACCUGCCCCGAAGACUGGGACAACACCGGGAAACCGGUGCUAAUACCGGAUAUCCCCACCGAGUCGCAUGGUUUGGUGAGGAAAUGUUUUUCGCUUUGGGAGGGGCUCGCGGCCUAUCAGCUUGUUGGUGAGGUAACGGCUCACCAAGGCUUCGACGGGUAGCUGGUCUGAGAGGACGAUCAGCCACACUGGGACUGAGACACGGCCCAGACUCCUACGGGAGGCAGCAGUGGGGAAUCUUGCACAAUGGGCGAAAGCCUGAUGCAGCAACGCCGCGUGAGGGACGAAGGCUUUCUGAGUUGUAAACCUCUUUCAGCAGGGACGAUUGUGACGGUACCUGCAGAAGAAGCCCCGGCCAACUACGUGCCAGCAGCCGCGGUAAUACGUAGGGGGCAAGCGUUGUCCGGAUUUAUUGGGCGUAAAGAGCUCGUAGGCGGCUUGGCAAGUCGGAUGUGAAACCUCCAGGCUCAACCUGGAGUCGCCAUUCGAUACUGCCAUGGCUAGAGUUUGGUAGGGGACCACGGAAUUCCUGGUGUAGCGGUGAAAUGCGCAGAUAUCAGGAGGAACACCAGCGGCGAAGGCGGUGGUCUGGGCCAAUACUGACGCUGAGGAGCGAAAGCGUGGGGAGCGAACAGGAUUAGAUACCCUGGUAGUCCACGCCGUAAACGUUGGGCACUAGGUGUGGGGACCUAU
This 814-nucleotide ribosomal RNA is filed under the name uncultured Actinomycetes bacterium. RNAcentral describes it as "bacterial SSU rRNA". It matches the Rfam family "Bacterial small subunit ribosomal RNA", at positions 11 to 833 of the family's 1533-position model. The record is from RNAcentral. Lineage: Bacteria; Bacillati; Actinomycetota; Actinomycetes.